AGGAGGAGGCGGAGGAGGCGGAGGUGGAAGAGGAAGCCGGCGUGGACGAGGCGGAGGAGAGAGAGGCGGGCCGCGGGCGCAGGCUGUCCGGCGGAGGCUCAGCGCGCUCCGGGGGCGGGGGCGGCGGCGGCGGCUGAAGAGGCUGCGGCGCGCUCAGGAGACCCGCGGCGCCGCUGCCCUUGAGCGGGCCUGCGCCUCCGUGAGGGAAGAGUUGCUGCCAGUGCUGCAUGGGCUGCUGCGCUUGGCCGCUGCCGCGUCCUGGCUCCUUGGUUCCACGCUCUGGCAGCUUCCCGGCUGGACACGUGGGUUUUACGACAGCACAAAAUAGGUUUUCUGAACCUGGGAAACGUGCUGUUCAGACUUCAUCCGGGUCUCAUUCAGGAUGCUUCGAUGUUGGUUGGAAGAGAGUUAGACCGAAAAUGUUUUGACUGGCGUCGUUAUGACAAGGUCAUCCGUCAUUGUUGGAUAGAUUGAUAGCACCCAAGUUUAAGGCAGACACCACGAGGGAAAGCCCACGGCGCUGUGGUCCCGGAGGCUAACCAGGCAGUGUCCGCAGACCUCCAGCAACUCCAUCGGGAGGAGAGGAUGAAGUUCCAGGCCCGUUUCAAUUAAUCUGCUCGCAGAACUGCCGAAGAGUGGCUUGUCGGGCCACGGGAGAAGAAACAAAUGCUCUUUCUCACACUCUCCUGGUUCAUUGCUGAGAAACCAGGACACUCCUCUGUUCCCUGGGAGAGACAGUGAACUCCAGGGAUGGAAGUCCGGACUCCGGCGGCGGUCCCGUCAUUUGCCUUCUUGUUUCUGCCCAAACCCAGCUAGUUCCAAGCGCUUGGUCCCCAAGACUGGAAGUCCCCAAGAACCUACCUCUACCUGUCCCAACCCUGCCUCCCCCCUACCCUUUCACCCCCUGCCACCAUUAGAAAGUCUCUGGAUUUUGAAAUGCUAGUUGCAGCAGCUGCUUCCGUGGCCUCAUGCCGCCCACACUCUGGGAAGCGGAGGAGGGAGGGUUCCUCUCGUAAUAAG
Molecule: long non-coding RNA, 1020 nt
Filed under: Homo sapiens (human)
Lineage: Eukaryota; Metazoa; Chordata; Mammalia; Primates; Hominidae
Description: HSALNT0093735
Source: RNAcentral